CCUACGGGAGGCAGCAGUAGGGAAUCUUCCACAAUGGACGAAAGUCUGAUGGAGCAACGCCACGUGAGUGAAGAAGGGUUUCGGCUCGUAAAGCUCUGUUGGUAGUGAAGAAAGAUAGAGGUAGUAACUGGCCUUUAUUUGACGGUAAUUACUUAGAAAGUCACGGCUAACUACGUGCCAGCAGCCGCGGUAAU
This 194-nucleotide ribosomal RNA is filed under the name uncultured Lactobacillus sp. RNAcentral's name for it is "partial 16S ribosomal RNA". It matches the Rfam family "Bacterial small subunit ribosomal RNA", at positions 338 to 524 of the family's 1533-position model. The record is from RNAcentral. Lineage: Bacteria; Bacillati; Bacillota; Bacilli; Lactobacillales; Lactobacillaceae.